RNAcentral lists this ribosomal RNA (551 nucleotides) under uncultured bacterium. RNAcentral's name for it is "bacterial SSU rRNA". It matches the Rfam family "Bacterial small subunit ribosomal RNA", at positions 77 to 658 of the family's 1533-position model. The record is from RNAcentral.
AGCUUGCUCCGGAUCUCUUAGUGGCGAACGGGUGAGUAACGCGUGGGAAUCUACCUUAAAGUGGGGAAUAACUAUUGGAAACGAUAGCUAAUACCGCAUAAUCCCUGAGGGGCAAAGGCUUCGGCCGCUUUUAGAUGAGCCCGCGUUAGAUUAGGCUGUUGGUGAGGUAAUGGCUCACCAAACCUGUAAUCUAUAGCUGGUCUGAGAGGACGAUCAGCCACACUGGGACUGAGACACGGCCCAGACUCCUACGGGAGGCAGCAGUGGGGAAUAUUGGACAAUGGGGGAAACUCUGAUCCACCAAUGCCGCGUGAGUGAUGAAGGCCCUAGGGUUGUAAAACUCUUUCAGAAGUGAAGAUGAUGACGGUAACUUCAGAAGAAGCUCCGGCCAACUCCGUGCCAGCAGCCGCGGUAAUACGGAGGGAGCUAGCGUUGUUCGGAAUUACUGGGCGUAAAGAGCGUGUAGGCUGUUAGGUAAGUCAGAGGUGAAAUCCCUAAGCUCAACUUAGGUACUGCCUUUGAUACUAUCCUUACUAGAGAUCGAGAGAAGU